UACGGGGGGGGCAAGCGUUGUUCGGAAUUACUGGGCGUAAAGGGCUCGUAGGUGGCCAACUAAGUCGGACGUGAAAUCCCUCAGCUUAACUGGGGAACUGCGUCCGAUACUGGAUGGCUUGAGUUUGGGAGAGGGAUGCGGAAUUCCAGGUGUAGCGGUGAAAUGCGUAGAUAUCUGGAGGAACACCGGUGGCGAAGGCGGCAUCCUGGACCGAUACUGACGCUGAGGAGCGAAAGCCAGGGGAGCAAACGGG
This 253-nucleotide ribosomal RNA is filed under the name uncultured bacterium. RNAcentral's name for it is "partial 16S ribosomal RNA". It matches the Rfam family "Bacterial small subunit ribosomal RNA", at positions 524 to 776 of the family's 1533-position model. The record is from RNAcentral.